This 446-nucleotide ribosomal RNA is filed under the name uncultured bacterium. Its description in RNAcentral is "partial 16S ribosomal RNA". It matches the Rfam family "Bacterial small subunit ribosomal RNA", at positions 338 to 795 of the family's 1533-position model. The record is from RNAcentral.
CCUACGGGAGGCAGCAGUAGGGAAUCUUCGGCAAUGGCGGAAACCCUGACCGAGCAACGCCGCGUGAACGAAGAAGUUCUUCGUACUGUAAAGUUCUUUUAUCAGGGAAGAAAGAGAAUUUUGACGGUACCUGCAGAAUUAGCUCCGGCUAACUACGUGCCAGCCGCCGCGGUAGUACGUAGGGAGCGAGUGUUAUGCGGAAAUAUGGGGCGUAGAGGGUGCGUAGAUGGCAUAGUAAGUUGUGUGUAAACAUGCUGGGCUAAACCCAGUAGGGCAAAAGAUACUGCAAAGCUAGAGUGUGGAUGAGGCGAGUGGAACUACAUGUGUAGCGGUAAAAUGCAUAAAUAUAUGUAAGAACACCAGUGGCGAAGGCGGCUCGCUGGGUCGAUACUGACAUUGAGGCACGAAAGCGUGGGUAGCAAACAGGAUUAGAUACCCUGGUAGUC